This 915-nucleotide ribosomal RNA is filed under the name uncultured bacterium. Its description in RNAcentral is "bacterial SSU rRNA". It matches the Rfam family "Bacterial small subunit ribosomal RNA", at positions 8 to 879 of the family's 1533-position model. The record is from RNAcentral.
AGAGUUUGAUCAUGGCUCAGGAUGAACGCUGGCGGCGUGCCUAAUACAUGCAAGUCGAACGCUUUGUCUUUAACUGAUAUGACGAGCUUGCUCUGAUGUGAUUUUAUCUGACAAAGAGUGGCGAACGGGUGAGUAACACGUGGGUAACCUACCUCUUAGCAGGGGAUAACAUUUGGAAACAAGUGCUAAUACCGUAUAAUACCCACAACCGCAUGGUUGUUGGUUGAAAGAUGGUUCUGCUAUCACUAAGAGAUGGACCCGCGGUGCAUUAGCUAGUUGGUAAGGUAACGGCUUACCAAGGCAAUGAUGCAUAGCCGAGUUGAGAGACUGAUCGGCCACAAUGGGACUGAGACACGGCCCAUACUCCUACGGGAGGCAGCAGUAGGGAAUCUUCCACAAUGGGCGCAAGCCUGAUGGAGCAACGCCGCGUGUGUGAUGAAGGGUUUCGGCUCGUAAAACACUGUUAUAAGAGAAGAACGGCACUGAGAGUAACUGUUCAGUGUGUGACGGUAUCUUACCAGAAAGGAACGGCUAAAUACGUGCCAGCAGCCGCGGUAAUACGUAUGUUCCAAGCGUUAUCCGGAUUUAUUGGGCGUAAAGCGAGCGCAGACGGUUAUUUAAGUCUGAAGUGAAAGCCCUCAGCUCAACUGAGGAAUGGCUUUGGAAACUGGAUGACUUGAGUGCAGUAGAGGAAAGUGGAACUCCAUGUGUAGCGGUGAAAUGCGUAGAUAUAUGGAAGAACACCAGUGGCGAAGGCGGCUUUCUGGACUGUAACUGACGUUGAGGCUCGAAAGUGUGGGUAGCAAACAGGAUUAGAUACCCUGGUAGUCCACACCGUAAACGAUGAGUGCUAGAUGUUCGAGGGUUUCCGCCCUUGAGUGUCGCAGCUAACGCAUUAAGCACUCCGCCUGGGGA